ACGAACGCUGGCGGCGUGCUUAACCCAUGCCAGUCGCACGGAAAGGCCCUGCUUGCAGGGUACUCGAGUGGCGAACGGGUGAGUAACACGUGGGUGAUCUGCCCUGCACUUCGGGAUAAGCCUGGGAAACUGGGUCUAAUACCGGAUAGGAGCCAUUUUUAGUGUGAUGGUUGGAAAGUUUUUUCGAUGUAGGAUGAGCUCGCGGCCUAUCAGCUUGUUGGUGGGGUAAUGGCCUACCAAGGCGGCGACGGGUAGCCGGCCUGAGAGGGUGGACGGCCACAUUGGGACUGAGAGACGGCCCAGACUCCUACGGGAGGCAGCAGUGGGGAAUAUUGCACAAUGGGCGCAAGCCUGAUGCAGCGACGCCGCGUGGGGGAUGACGGCCUUCGGGUUGAAAACGCCUUUCGCUAGGGACGAAGCUUUUUGUGACGGUACCUAGAGAAGAAGCACCGGCUAACUACGUG
This 464-nucleotide ribosomal RNA is filed under the name uncultured bacterium. RNAcentral's name for it is "partial 16S ribosomal RNA". It matches the Rfam family "Bacterial small subunit ribosomal RNA", at positions 29 to 507 of the family's 1533-position model. The record is from RNAcentral.